Molecule: transfer RNA, 68 nt
Filed under: Muntiacus reevesi (Reeves' muntjac)
Lineage: Eukaryota; Metazoa; Chordata; Mammalia; Artiodactyla; Cervidae
Also listed under: 2 other names
Description: tRNA-Trp
Source: RNAcentral
AGGAGUUUAGGUUAGCCUAGACCAAGAGCCUUCAAAGCCCUAAGCAAGUACAAUAUACUUAACUCCUG